AUAUUGUGAAUUCCUAAGGCCAGUAACCUCCUAAAUCAAUCAAAUAAAUUAAUUAACUAUCAGAGAAUUACUGGACCAGCUCUCCAUCUAACGGGUCCGGUUCCCGUAGCCCAUAUGGGUCAACCCAGAUGAGAUCUGAGGAACGUUUUUAAGCUGGUAAGCGAGAAAAUUCGCCUAGCUUCUAACUGCCUCCAUCCAGACGCCUAUCCUGCUUCCUCUGAUAACUAACUCAACUGAGUAGCCACUUUCGAAUGGUCAAAUUAAUUACCAGUCACGUCUGUUAACGGCAGCUUUUCUCUCAUCGGAUUCUGCACUUGGUAAGUUGCUAGGUUUAAAUUUAGAGGUUAAGGCACGGAUAACCCCAAGGAUAAGUUUAAAAAAGGCCACCCUCGGCCCCAACGACUAGGUAAUCUGACAGAACCAGUUUUAGAUGUAAUGCACACAAUAACCUGACUUUUUACAAACUGAGAAGAUAUAUGUGAUUAAUUCAUCAUCAUGAUAAAAAUAAAUAGAAUUUCCAAUCUGUUAACUUUAAUUGCAGGAUAAAUGUUUUAUUAUAAUUUCAGCAAGGGCGUAGCAUAAGCUCCUAAAUCACAACACUCAAUCAAACAUUAAUAUUCUUCCAAUUGCUUAACAUGACUCAUAAGUGGAACUAUGCUUUCAUAUAAGAGAAGUAAUAAUCACCCAAACUAUGUAAUUUGGAGGGGGAGAGCAGACGGGGUGCACAACCGGCUGCUCACCUGAAGACCGAUGCCCCGCUGGGGCUCUGCUCCAGGGAGGAGGUGGAGGGGGUUCGGUCCAGAUUUAGAUCUGCUUGUAUCCAUUUUUGUUCUUUGGGCCAGUAAAAACUUUGUUAAUCCAUUCUGGUGUUAAUCCUUUGGAAAUAGUAGAGUUCAGUUAUAUUCCUUCAGUCAGCGUUAUUUUUAGAUCACAGUCUUUUGUAAUCCUCAAACAGUGCAGAAAGAGCACUCCUUCAGUCCAUAAUUCCCAUAGAACAGAUAUUCCUUUGCAGAUCAUGUUGAAUCCCCCGUCCGAGUUACGUGGUAAAAUCCCCUUUGCUCAGAGCAUUUCUACCCUGGCUUGCAACGAGUGACCACCUCGCAACGACUCCCAGCUCGUGUCUCGAUCCAGUGCAAUUUAUACAACAACUGAACCUGUUGCAUAUGCAAGAACUGCACCCUUAAUUAACAUACGUGAUGACAGCAUCCAUCCCCCUCCUUACUCGUGCACUGCUCCCAUCCACUGACCUCAUGGCCUCUGCGUGCUCUGGGGGAACCAAAACCUUGGACCGCCCGGCCACCGCCCGGCCCCUGCGUGCUCUGGAGGAACCAAAACCUUGGACUGUUUUGCCCUUUCACCCAGUCUCAACUUUCCAUUACUGUAUUUGUUCCAUCCACAGCUAAGAGCAGGCCUCCGGUCGGGAAACAGAUGUCAGACUCACAAAAAUCCCUGACAUUUAUUUUGAGCUUAAUAACCUUCACUGUGAACACUUGACCCCAGUUCACCUCAGCUCUUGACUUCUCACUUCAUUACUAAGUUAAAAACCUUAGUUUUAACAGUAAUCAAGACUCUUUCUAAAACAUCUCAGUUUCAUAGUAAUCAAAACUCUUAAAAGCAUUUCCAUUCAAUAAAGCAUUAGUUCCUCAUAUUUGUCAUAUCAAAAACAUCAGUUUCCCUGGUAACCAAAACAUCACUUUUCACAGUGAGUUGCUGUUCUGACUUAGUUACUUCUUAAACAAAGAUUAUAAAAAUAGGUAUUUGAGUUAGCUUUAACACACUUAUUAGGUUAUAGCAUGAAUCAGUUAUAAAUCACAGGUUAUAACAUCACAAUGUUCCCUUAUUUAGCUGUUAUUCUGCCAGAGUCUCCCCCUUGUGGCUGAUUCUGGGAUCUCAUACCUCCAUGUUUCUCAACA
Molecule: long non-coding RNA, 1913 nt
Organism: Amphiprion ocellaris (clown anemonefish)
Lineage: Eukaryota; Metazoa; Chordata; Actinopteri; Pomacentridae
Source: Ensembl